This 1259-nucleotide long non-coding RNA is filed under the name Marmota monax (woodchuck). The record is from RNAcentral. Lineage: Eukaryota; Metazoa; Chordata; Mammalia; Rodentia; Sciuridae.
GUGGCUUUGCUCUGAAGUGACUGUAGAAAUAAGAUUCAGUGUCUUCUCUCAAAGUGGUGCUAAUACUGGGAACAGCAGAAGACACACACUGAGAGAAAGUAUCAAUACCUGGAUAUUCACCCAGCCUGGAACCCUUAAGAGAAAGAAGCUUACUAAGUAGUCCCUUGCAUUAAAAAAAAAAGUCAUAAUCAUCCUAAGCAGUAUAAAAAAGUAAAGGAACAAACCACUCCAAAUAGCCUAUAACACUUCAACAACUGACUCCAUUGACAUCAGAGUGAAUGAAAUGUCAGAGAAAGAAUUUUAAAAGUUCAUAGUUAAAAUAUUCAACAAGUUAAAAGAAGAUGCAAGAAAUGAACUUAGAAAAUACAAGAAGUGAAAGACCAUUUCAAUAAAACGAUAGAAAUUCUGAAAAAGAAACAAACAAAUCCUGUAAAUGAAGGAAUCAAUAAAUCAAAUUAAGAAUUCAAUGGAAAGCAUCACCAAUAGCUUAAAUCACUUUGAAGAUAGAUGUUCAGGCCUUGAAGACAAAGUAUAUAAUCUUGAAAAUAAAGUUGAUGUUUUAGUCAGCUUUUUGGCCACUGUGACCAAAAUAUCUGACAAGAAAUGUAGAGAAGGAAAAGUUUAUUUUUGGCUCACGGUUUCAGAGGUUUAGUCCAUGGUCAGCUGACUCCAUCGGUAGCUCUGGGAACAAGGCAAUGCAGAAUGUCAUGGCAGAAGGAUGUGGCAGAGGGAAGCUCAGGACAUGGCAACUACGAUGCAGAGAGCUCCACUUACCAGGGACAAAAUACAAACCCCAAAGGCACACCCUCAGUGACUCUUUCCUCCAUCCACACCCUACCUGCCUUUGGUUAUCAUCCAUUCAAUACAUAACAGUGGAUUAAUCCACUGGUAGGUUACAACUCACAUCAUCUAAUUAUUUCACUCUGAGCAUCCUUGCAUGUCUCACACAUGAGCUUUCAAGGAACAACUCAUAUCUAAACCAUAACUGUCGACAAUAAAGAAAAGAUGUGAAGAGAUCAUGACUAGAAAUAUUCAAGAAAUCUGGGAUGACAUUAAGAGACCAAAUUAAAAAAUCCUUGGGGUAGAAGAAGGCUCUGAAAUACAAACUAAAGGAAUGCACAAUCUCUUCAAUGAAAUAAUGUUAGAAAACUUUCCAAAUCUUAGUAACAAGAUGGAGAUUCAGAUAUAAGAAUUCAUAACCACUAGGCUGGGGCUAUGGCUCAGCAGUAGAGCACUUGCCUAGCACGUGGGUUCGAUCC